UUCAAAGUCACAAUUUCGACUUUCAAAGUCAUAAUUAUGAGAUUCAAAGUCAUAAUUUCGACUUUCAAAGUCAUAAUUAUGAGAUUCAAAGUCAUAAUUAUGAGAUUCAAAGUCAUAAUUUCGACUUUCAAAGUCAUAAUUUCGAUUUUUCCAAAAAAGCAGACAUGCUGUCUUGUGUGACAUUUACACAGUAUUCCAUUUGAUCUGUCUAACCAGGAAAACACAGAUUUUUCUCCUAUUAAUGGAUUAUAAACAAAUUGAGGAGUAUUUCAGAUGUGGUUUAACCAAUGAUGAAAUUCUUGCUUUGCUGGCUGAGGUUCAUGGGGUAAUUCUUAGCAAGAGGACACUAGAAAGGAUUCUUAAUAAGAAGAAACUUUGGCGCCGAAAGAACAAAAGUGAUGUGAGUGUAGUGGCAGCUUUCAUUCGUCAGCAACUUGAAACCUCUGGACAAUGUCACAGAUAUCGAUGGAUGCACCAAAAAUGCUGGAUGAAUGGUAUUGUUACAGACAGGGAAACAGUUCGAGUCCUUUUACGCUUACUAGAUGGUGAAGGAGUAGACCUAAGGUCAAGAAAUCGACUGAGGAGACGGAUUUACUAUAGUCGUGGUCCAAACUAUGUUUGGCAUAUGGACGGCUACGAUACGCUCAAACCAUUUGGAAUUGGGAUCAAUGGUUGCAUUGACGGUUUUUCCAGAAGGCUAAUAUGGCUUGAGGCAUACAAAACAAAUAACGAUCCAAGAGUCAUUGCUGGAUACUUCAUGGAUGCAGUGAUUAAAGCUGAGGGUUGUCCUGAAAGACUUAGAGUGGAUUUAGGGACAGAAAAUGUUAAUGCAGCUGACAUGCAAAGAUAUUUGCAUCUUACAGAAGACCAACCUCAAAGUGAUAAUGUAAUAUUUGGUCCAAGCACUGGAAAUCAGCGGAUUGAAAGAUGGUAGUUGGCCCUGCGAAGUGAAUGUAUCCAGUUCUGGAUGGACCUCUUUGACAAACUGAAAGCAGAUGGACACUUCUCGGAUAACUUCUUGGACAAAGCCUUGAUCCAGUUCUGUUUUCUCCACAUAAUACAGAAAGAACUAAAUGAAGUUGUUUCAGCUUGGAACCACCACAGGAUACGUCCAACACACAAUUCACGAAGUCCUCAUGGGCGACCAUUCAUGAUGUACACAGUACCUCUGGUGUAUGGAACCAGAGACUAUCUACACAGCAUUGAUCUGAACAGGGUUGAAGCCUGCUUGGAAAACUGUGUUUUCAAAGACUUUCCAUGCGAUGAAGAUGUCUUCAGUAUCUGUGUGGACCUGAUUUCAGAGCAUAACCUGAAUGUCACAGAUGAUGUGUUUGCAACAACUGAUCUAUACAUAAGACUCAGACAACUGAUUACCAGAGAUUUGGAGCUGCAUUGAUAAAUGUAAAAACAUUUUGUUGCGUUGACAGUUUGCUACCUCGUCCCUAAUUUGGACUUCAGUAGAUAUUUGAUGACAUUGUGAGUGGCAGCAUUUGCUUCAACACAUUGUUGCACCAGUAUAAAGAUGGGUCAAAGCCAUUCACAAGCUCUGUAACUAAGCAAGAAGAGACACUAAAAUAAGAUAAAUCAUGCUGAGCUGAUAAAAUAAGUCUGACAUUAGAAAAAUAUAUUGAUGCAUUGGACAGAUGAUUUUUGGUUUUGAUAUUUUCCCUUUAUUAUCAAUAUCAUUGCAUUACAGUUUGAACAUUAUGCUGAUUAUUAAACAGGAAAUAAAGGAAUUGAGAACUGCUGUAGAAACCUCAUUAUUUUUCAGGUGUGCAACCCAAUGCUGAUUUAAAGCUUCCCCCGCCCCAAAUAAAUCACACAUAUAAACUGGAAAAAGCGGUUUAUUGAACUUCAAAAUUAAAGUCUCUAUUUAGCUAUUAGAGAAGCCUUUGAGUGUUUUAAAAUAAUUCUUUAAGAUAAUGA
Xiphophorus couchianus (Monterrey platyfish) is the source of this 1926-nucleotide long non-coding RNA. RefSeq lists it as uncharacterized. The record is from RefSeq and is a predicted model, not a curated record. Lineage: Eukaryota; Metazoa; Chordata; Actinopteri; Cyprinodontiformes; Poeciliidae. The transcript has 2 exons.